RNAcentral lists this ribosomal RNA (248 nucleotides) under uncultured bacterium. RNAcentral describes it as "partial 16S ribosomal RNA". It matches the Rfam family "Bacterial small subunit ribosomal RNA", at positions 113 to 353 of the family's 1533-position model. The record is from RNAcentral.
ACGCGUGGGUAACCUGCCUUGUANCGGGGGAGUAACUAUUGGAAACGAUAGCUAAUACCGCAUAACAAUGGAUGACACAUGUCAUUUAUUUGAAAGGGGCAAUUGCUCCACUACAAGAUGGACCUGCGUUGUAUUAGCUAGUAGGUGAGGUAAUGGCUCACCUAGGCGACGAUACAUAGCCGACCUGAGAGGGUGAUCGGCCACACUGGGACUGAGACACGGCCCAGACUCCUACGGGAGGCAGCAUG